UGUGAUGUAGCUCAGUGGCAAAGUGCUUGCCUAGGAAGGCAAAAGUCCUGGGUUCAAUCCCCAGUACCAAAA
This 72-nucleotide transfer RNA is filed under the name Dipodomys ordii (Ord's kangaroo rat). It matches the Rfam family "tRNA". Rfam says of the family: Transfer RNA (tRNA) molecules are approximately 80 nucleotides in length. The record is from Rfam by way of RNAcentral. Lineage: Eukaryota; Metazoa; Chordata; Mammalia; Rodentia; Heteromyidae.